This 391-nucleotide unclassified non-coding RNA is filed under the name soil metagenome. RNAcentral's name for it is "partial contains 5.8S ribosomal RNA, internal transcribed spacer 2, and large subunit ribosomal RNA". The stretch from base 1 to 122 matches the Rfam family "5.8S ribosomal RNA", at positions 35 to 154 of the family's 154-position model. The record is from RNAcentral.
GAUGAAGAACGCAGCGAAAUGCGAUACUUGGUGUGAAUUGCAGAAUCCCGUGAACCAUCGAGUCUUUGAACGCAAGUUGCGCCCGAAGCCAUUAGGCCGAGGGCACGCCUGCCUGGGCGUCACACGUCGUUGCCCCCCCAUCUACUCCUUCGGGAUUGCGGGGGGCGGAUGAUGGCCUCUCGUGCGCCUCGUCGCGCGGUUGGCCUAAAUGCCAAGUCCUCGGCGACGCACGCCACGACAAUCGGUGGUUGCGAAACCUCGGUUGCCUGUCGUGUGCGGUCGUCGCGCAUCGAGGGCUCGAAAAAAUUGCCGGGCUUCGGCUCGACUUUCAACGCGACCCCAGGUCAGGCGGGGUUACCCGAUGAAUUUAAGCAUAUCAAUAAGCGGAGGA